UAUAUGGUGUGGUCGAGUCCAUGGGUCUAAUGUGCAUUCUAGUGCGUUUGGCCUAUUCGGGUGGACCUUUGACGCUAGUAAUGACCUUGCUUAUAUUUCUCGGCGUGCAGAAUCCAUUUCUGAGAUUAUUUUCAGUAGAUUUAUAUCCGAAAGUUACGAUCUAAAAUUGGUUGAUUUACGGGGUCCAUUGUGAAGAUCAUUGGUUAAACUUUACUUGAUCAUUGUGAAUUUUCAGUAUGUUGUUCCUAGCACUACAGUUGGUUUAUCUAACGGUCAAGAAAUGAUUAUUUGGUAAUUGAAUAUUCAUUUGAGAUAUAAUUGUUUAUGACAUGCUUCCAAACGAGGAUGAAUCAUGGUGGUUUUGGGUUAGGAAUUACUAUUAGGAGGGAAACAUAUAGUUUGACAUUUCAAUGUAUUUGGACGGCAAUUUGUGGAUUCCAGAUGAGUGAUUUAGCAUGCUACAUACUUUUGAAAAAUUACUCGUAUACCAAAUUUUAUCUAUGAUAAAAAUAAAAAUAAAGUGUUAUCUUUUAUUAUUAAUAUGCUAAUGUUGGUUUUUAAUAUACAUCGUGACGUAUAUACCAAAUUUUAUCUAUGAUAAAAACAAAAAUAAAGUGUUAUCUUUUAUUAUUAAUAUGCUAAUGUUGGUUUUUAAUAUACAUCGUGACGUAUUAUUUAUUUUGGAUAUGGUCUUUUAUUUAUUACACUUUGCUUCCCAUUUCUUGAUGGUGAGAUUUACGAGAUUCUGUAUAUUUGGGACCAGUUUGAAGUCUAAGAGGCACGCCCUCUGUAGAGUUCACUCUGGUUGCUAUGGAAAAAGCUUGGUCGUUGUGAUGGGACCGGGAUGACCCUAGUGCUCAACGGUUUAAGGAACAGUCCUGGUAUGUUCAGGUUAAUUGAAUCGGUUCGGAAAAAAUACCUGGGUGUCACCCCACAGUAACUCUAAGUACGAUAUUGGAGCCAACCAAAUUUAUGCCCAGAGACUUGAUUUGGCACUUUAUAUAUGUAUAUUGUUUAUUUCCGUAGACUAUUGAGAUGAUCAUGUUGUUAUCACACUGAUAUUGUGCUUAAUUUAAGAGUCUUGAGAUUUUUAUAUGUAUUAUAUUGUGAUGCCAAUUAUAAAUCUUGAUAAAAUGAUUAUGUUCUACUAAUUCCUUUUUUUAAAUUCUUGUUUUAGAACUCCAUCCGACUAUACAUGCUUACUGCUUACUGAGUUUUUAAGCUGACGUUGUUUUUACUAUUUUUAGGUUAGUUUCUUGGACAGUAGACGAGGAUUAUGUGGCAUAAUUGGUACCCACUAUGUGGACCUCUAGAUACAAUAGUUUUCAUGUAGUAGUGAGUUGGUACAGCAUUUAUUUUUAAAUUGUUGACAAACACUUAC
Molecule: long non-coding RNA, 1381 nt
Filed under: Actinidia chinensis (golden kiwifruit)
Lineage: Eukaryota; Viridiplantae; Streptophyta; Magnoliopsida; Ericales; Actinidiaceae
Description: long non-coding RNA (ACHI_LNC000088)
Source: RNAcentral